This is a long non-coding RNA of Sapajus apella (tufted capuchin), 2744 nucleotides long. RefSeq lists it as uncharacterized. The transcript has 2 exons. The record is from RefSeq and is a predicted model, not a curated record. NCBI's taxonomy places the organism in Eukaryota, Metazoa, Chordata, Mammalia, Primates, Cebidae.
GCAGUGAGCUGAGAUUGUGCCAUUGCACUCCAGCCUGGACAGGAAGAGUGAAACUCCAUCUCUUCUUCUUGCCAUGUGAGACACUGGCUCUCCCUUUGUCUUCCACUGUGAUUGUUAAGCUUCCUGAGGCCUCACUGGAAGCUGAGCAGAUCCAGUGCAAUGCUUCCUGUAUAGCCUGCAGAACUGUCAGCCAAUUAAAUCCCUUUUCUUAGAAAUUACCCAGUCUCAGGUAUUUCUUUAUGGCAAUGCAAGAAUGGCCUAACAUACCUGGCUAAAAUAAUGGCCCCCUAGUAUAGAUAUUUUGACUACUAAGAAAUCCAAAGAUAUGUGAGCUCAGAAUUCCAGGUCUAGUCCAUCUUUCUAGAACAUUUAAAGUCCUCUGCCUUCUUCUGCUGACAUAAACAACUGCUUCUGCUGUCACUGAUUGAGUGCCUACAUUAGCCAAGCUUAGUAUAAGACACUUUAUAUUUAUUUUCUCAUUAGGCUUUAGAGUCAUUACUUAGUUAUUGAUGCUGUUUUAUUCCAGAUAAUGAAUCUCUGGUACAGUAAGGUUGUGAUUUACCUAAAGUUGCACAACUGGAGGGGUGGACCCAAGAUUUAGCAGAAGUAACUACCAGCACCAUAUGGUUAUCAGGUUAGCAGUGGAAUAGUACCUGGUUGAGAGAGCCUGUGGGAGUUAAAAUCCUGCUUCCCAAGCUGUGUACUCUGGGAAGGGACUGUCUCUGCUUAAAAGAAGAGGGACUUGGUACCUUCACUAGUUAUGUUUCUAGUAUCUACCUUGUAUGUGUCUACACAGUUCGUGUCCUGUGUCUUUGUUUAUGCUGUGCCAUCACUUAAAUGCCCUCCUCAUCACUUCUACAUGUUCCAAUCCCCGUUUACCCUGAGCAUAAUUGAAAUGGCAUCUCCUUCAUGAAGUCUUGCCUAAUAUCUGCCACCACUUCCACCCUGUCCCAGUGCCAGAACUAGCCUUCUGUUAAACUCGCCUCCCUAGUACUUUAAUUGUGUAGUUUCUCCUGUAGAACAUCCUCCCUCAUUUAGAAUAAUACAUGCCCCUAUGUUAUUGACUGUGUUUGUAUGGAAGCAUUUUUAGAGCAGGGAACAGAUUUGGUUUUUCUUUGUAUCCCCCAGAGUCGCUUACCAUGUGUCCAUCAUGCAUAGUAAGUAUUCAGUAAAUAUUUGUUGCAUGAAUUUAAUGCACAAGCUAAUCGUAAUCCUAGAUUUCUAGACCAAGAGAGACAAGCACAUUCUUUCUAAGAUUUAUAUUAGAAGAUAUUUACAUGAUUUAAAGUUUAGCUUCCAUAUGUGUAGCUAACUUUUCAUUAUGGAAUUUAUUACGAAGACUAAAACUGUAAGCAGUAUAUAUGAGCCUACAUAUGUCUCCUGAGAUACUUUACCCUGCAUCCUAGAGUACAGAUUUUGUAGUUUUGUGAACAUUCUGGGGUUCUGUUGGAGUGUGUCUACAAAUAAAGACUUCAGAAAGCAUCCCUUUGCUCUGAAUAAACUGGAAGCUCAUAAACAUGCUGUAGUCUUAAAUAUUUAACUUGCUAAUAAGCAGCUUCUCUAAGAAAUUUUUCCUCUGUGGCUCCUAUCAGAAUUAUAAACAAAAGGAAAGAUAGGCCAGUCAGCACAAAUAUCUGAAAGGCACAAAUAUUUCAUUGGGAAUAACCAAAAUGUUUUACCACCUAUGUAUAGGGAUUUUGAUAUCUAGGGUAUUAAAAAAGUCAUUAUGGAAAUGUAUUAAAUAUCUUAAAAUAUAAUCAGUAAUGUUGGAUUCUGAAAGAGCCAGAGCAAAACUGUCUGUGGGCAUUUAUGAAAUAAUUUAAACAGCCGGUACAACUUGCGGAUAACUUCAUGAAUACUCGACAGAAUAGUGAAAGGACUGCAUUGUUCUUUGUUGUAGAAAGAUGCCACUCAGGCAUAACAUCGGAUUUUCAUAGUGUCCGAUUUCUAGUCUGUCCUACCUCUUCUUUUAAGCUCUGUUUGUUACUCACAUGACCAGUUUUCAUGAGACCAGUAUCAAGAAUGGAGUCCCCAACAAAGAAUUUUCUGGAGGUUGAUUGACACCCAGGGCUGUAACUCAUGAAAUGUUUCUUUUAAGGCUACAGAAUGUAUCUAAACAGCAAUGUAAAUGAGGAGUUAAAGGUGUGCAGUAAUGAUUGUGGCUAGAGGCUUUCGGCACAAAACUUCAUGCCUACUAGCUAUGUUCGAGCCAUAACAAUAACUGAACCCAGAAUUCUGAGCUGACAUACCUUUGGAUUUCUCAAAAGUGAAGUUGGAUCUUCAUGACAUAUGGGAAGAGGUUGGACUUUGGACUUUGGAGUGAAACAUACUGGGAUUUCUUUCCGACCCUAUAAACUGCUUCAUUGAGAAGGUUAUUUGGCCCCUUUAAGUCUCAGUUUUCAAAUCUGAAUUUGUGUAAUGGUAGUAUUAACACUUUCUAUGGUUAUAGCCUUUACCCUGCUUUAAGCCAAAAAGUUAAAAGAUUUUUUUUCUCUUAUUGAAUAUUCACUUUUUAAAAUUUAAGUAAGUAUAAUCUCUUCAGUGUCUCUGGCAGUGAUGGGAUUUGAAAUCAGGAAGUGUUCAUGAACUUAUUAAGUCUGAGUUUUUAAAUUUAUGCUAACAUGCUAUCUCUUCCUCUUCCCUUCCUUUCUAAUUUUUCUCUUAAUGUACAACUGGAUUGACCAUUUCAGAGAAAUUAAAGAGAAUUUUUACAUUAUUAAAUAAUACUUUCUAAAAAAGAAAGA